AUGGCGGACAAGAAUAUGCCGCCCGGGGGGCUGAAGCAACGCGGCCCGGCUCUGCCGAAGAUCCCGGGGCGUCACCAAGCCACGGGGGGUGCGCGUCCUGCUGCUGCGCCUAGUAAAGGUGCUGCCCCUCCUACACAAACUGCCAUCGCUGUGCCACCGCCACCGAUCCCUCCUACCCCACCGGUGCAAGUCUUCGACGAGCGUUACAAGGAUAUGGUUUGCUUUACCUGUGGAGGCCCUGGCCACUACGUUGGUAAUUGCAUCCAGAAGAAAGCUUGCUUCAUCUAUGGAUUGGAGGGUCACAAUGUCAAUAAUUGCACAGCCUGGGCGCAACCUCAUCGAGUUGCCACUUUCUUUGGGAGUUCUGCUCUGGGACUGGGGUUCUAUCACAUCGACACUCCUGUGGGUAAAGAAGCAAGUUGGCUGGACUUCAGGAACUGCGGAGAAGUUUGGAUCAUGAAAGGCGAAAUCAACAAGUCAGAUCUAGUUAAGAAUCUCUCUGGUAUAUUUUGCAAAAACAAACAAUGGACGUGGCAGAUCAGGCCACUGUCAGAGAAGAAGUUCCUGGUCAGAUUCCCACCCUGGAAAGAUGUCGAAGAACUGAUUGAAUUCCCUGCCUUUGAUCUGCCCAUCGAUGGAGUGUCUGUGUCUGUGGAAAAGUGGACCGGUUCAGUUGACCCAUUCAGCGAACUUACUGAAGCAUGGGUAGUUGUUGAGGGUCUGUCAUCCAAAUGGUGCACAUGGAAAGUCUUAUCUCAAAUUGCUUCCUGCUUUGGAAUCCUUGUGGAUGUAGAUUGGAAUGGUCUGAUGAAUAGCUUCUAUGAGAAAGUGAGGGUCAAAAUUGCUUGUAGGGACCCAGCUAAGAUCCCUUUCAAAAGGAUUAUGGAGAUGAGGAAAAAACUCUAUAUCUUAUCUUUUACUGUGGAAGGUUUUGACCAGAUAGGGGCUGAUGAUCCUAAUGAUGAUGAUGGACCUACUAACAUAGCUGUGGAUGAUGACAACAAGGUAUUUGAAGAGGAGGAACUGAAUAAAGACAUCCUGGAUGAUGGAGAGGAACCCAUAGAUGACCUAGACCUUGCCAACAGAGCCCCCACAAAAACUCCAGCUGGGAAGAAAGCGACUGAUGAUGGUGCUACAUUCCAUCCCCUGCUCUAUUGGAGGCAUGCAUCUCUCCUGUGA
This 1179-nucleotide ribosomal RNA is filed under the name Triticum aestivum (bread wheat). RNAcentral describes it as "partial small subunit ribosomal RNA". Lineage: Eukaryota; Viridiplantae; Streptophyta; Magnoliopsida; Poales; Poaceae. The record is from RNAcentral.